RNAcentral lists this non-coding RNA (201 nucleotides) under Staphylococcus argenteus. It matches the Rfam family "T-box leader". Rfam says of the family: Uncharged tRNA acts as the effector for transcription antitermination of genes in the T-box leader family. T-boxes are found upstream of many aminoacyl-tRNA synthetase genes and some amino acid biosynthetic genes usually in Gram-positive bacteria. Lineage: Bacteria; Bacillati; Bacillota; Bacilli; Caryophanales; Staphylococcaceae. The record is from RNAcentral.
GUAAACACUAUAAAGAGGAAAGUAAAACACACCCUGCUUAUACAGAGAGUCUUUAAUAGCUGAGAGAAGAUUUUGAAAGCGUGUUUGAAAAUGGCCUUGGAGUGUUGAUACCAAUAUGAGGUGUCUACGGGUUCGCCCGUUAUAGCGAUACAGUAUUAACAUUGAUGUUAAAUGGCGUACUGGAUUCUUUACGCACAAUUU